This 253-nucleotide ribosomal RNA is filed under the name uncultured bacterium. Its description in RNAcentral is "partial 16S ribosomal RNA". It matches the Rfam family "Bacterial small subunit ribosomal RNA", at positions 524 to 776 of the family's 1533-position model. The record is from RNAcentral.
UACAGAGGUCUCAAGCGUUGUUCGGAUUCAUUGGGCGUAAAGGGCGCGUAGGCGGCGGGGUAAGUCGGGUGUGAAAUCUCAGGGCUCAACCCUGAAACUGCACUCGAUACUGCUCUGCUUGAGGACUGGAGAGGAGACUGGAAUUCACGGUGUAGCAGUGAAAUGCGUAGAUAUCGUGAGGAAGACCAGUGGCGAAGGCGGGUCUCUGGACAGUUCCUGACGCUGAGGCACGAAGGUCAGGGGAGCAAACGGG